CGACUGCCCGCGGAGGGCAAAGCCAGGGAAACUCUGAUGCAGGCCAUUAGUGGUACUGACGUGCAAAUCGUUCGUCAUCCGUGAGUCUUGGGGCGAGAGACUAA
This 104-nucleotide non-coding RNA is filed under the name Symbiodinium microadriaticum. Its description in RNAcentral is "Eukaryotic large subunit ribosomal RNA". It matches the Rfam family "Eukaryotic large subunit ribosomal RNA", at positions 831 to 934 of the family's 3401-position model. The record is from Rfam by way of RNAcentral. Lineage: Eukaryota; Dinophyceae; Suessiales; Symbiodiniaceae.